Dermacentor albipictus is the source of this 2333-nucleotide RNA transcript. It is a transcript of the gene named protein kinase C-like 3, with no coding region annotated. NCBI's taxonomy places the organism in Eukaryota, Metazoa, Arthropoda, Arachnida, Ixodida, Ixodidae. The record is from RefSeq and is a predicted model, not a curated record.
GGCAUCGCCAUGAGCCGAACCGCGCGCGAACCCUCGCGGUGCCCCUGCAUGGUCUCGUGUGCAAGAACGACAGCGAUUAGCCCCGGCCGCGUCCACCGUAGGCCGGCCGGCGGCCGUGAGAUGCAGGGCGUCGGCCGCGGUCUGGCAUGCUGACCUGCGCCGACACGCCCCUACCGACUCUGCACACGCUGGCGCCGGGUCUACUGUUCACCUGUCACGUGUCCCGACGGUCGUCCGAAGCGCGCUCCGGGGCGCGUAAUGCCGCUCUGACACCGCCCAUCGCCAGUGUUGCGGACCCACCACGGAACGCGGCGAAGCGCAUACCGCGCCGCCCCAGUACGUGCGCGCGCACAUCUCCCAAGUCUGCGCAGGCGGUGGCCGCGCAGGUUCCCGCGCUGAGUGUCGCUACGACCAGCCAGGACUCGGCGCCGAGGACGCCACGAAGCGACGCCGAGCAGCUGCUGCAGGCGCCGGCCGCCCAGCCUGGAGCUACGACGCCAUUCCGGGACACCACAGAAGCCGAUGGCGAGCGCACCCCUAAGCAGCCGGCCGCGGUCAGUCCCGGUGGCGCGCGCGAGAUCGGCUCCAAGGCCGGCUCUCCGAUGCGCAGAAAUUCACCGCCAGCUGUCCCAGGUCCCUCCGGAGUCGCACCGCACGGCUCGACUCCGGCGCAGCAGCCCACGUCUCCGGCCGACGAACCCGCGGCGGGUGUGAAGGGGGAGCCCGAGGAUUCGAACUCGUUGAAAUGGAUGUCGACCAAAGAGCCUGGCGCGAAGGUGAAGCGGCGAGACGACGAGGAGUCGUCCGCCGGCCCGUCGCACGUGCAGCUGCAGUCACCUGCCGCUAGUCCCAUCGCGCCCAAGAAGCGCAGCCAGCGGCUGUGCCAUGCCGCGGUCGCCGACACCAGGAAGACCUCGGGCGGCGGCUCGCGCACCGAGUUCUGCGGUAUCCUGUCGGGGCUUCUGGGCAGGUUUAGAAUCAAGUCGAUCUCGUUGGGCGAUGUGGACGAGGUGACGUUCUGGAAGAACCCGGGUGAGUCCGGAGACUGGCACCUGGGCUUCCUGCAGCAACUGCAUGUUCUCGGGAAAGGCAGCUUCGGCGUCGUCUACCUCGUGCGCCACAAGCUAACCAAGGAGCUCGCUGCGCUCAAGUGUAUCGAGAAACACCACCGCGAACAGGCCAAGGAAGCCCGACGCGUGGAGGCUGAACGUUUGGCAUGGCAAGCAGUUUCGCACCACCCUUACGUGGCUACGUUGAAGGCCUACUACGAGACUACGAAAGCGUGGUGCUUCAUCAUGGAGUACGUGCCUCGAGGCACCCUUAGUCAAAUCAUCCGACGGUCGGGACCCUUGCCAGAAAGCAAGGCCAAGGUGGUGUCUGCUCAGCUGGCCCACGCGCUCAACUUCGUCCACGAUGCCGGCUACCUGCACCGUGACAUAAGUUCAUCGAACGUGCUUCUUGAUGAGCGUGGUAACGCUCGCCUUAUCGACUUCGGCCUCUGCCAGCUAGGACUGGAGGCCAGGAACCGCUGCGGAUCGCUCGCCUACAUGGCACCGGAAGUGCUCCGUAGGGAGCACUACGGCGUCGGCGCUGAUUGGUGGUCAUUCGGCAUCGUCCUAUACACCAUGCUCAUCGGUAAAACGCCACUCUCUCAGUACGCCGCCGAGCAGAACAUCAACAUCCAAACAACCAGGAGAGAGCUUCGCUAUUCCAUGGCCCUGGCAGCUCCUCUUCGGUUUCCCCGAUCAUUGACAGACGAAGCGUACAACAUUUUGCAGGAGAUUCUUCGCGAGGAUCCUGCAAUGCGGCUCGGGUGUCGUGCGAGCGGCGUACCCGGCAACGGUGGCUUCCAGGAGAUGAUGCAGCACAAAUUCUUCGCUACCAUCGAGUGGCGGGCGCUCAUAGGAGAUGUACGCCUAAAUCCUCGCUCGGUCUCCCGGACCCCAAGAGAAGAAGCUGCAGCUAGCGGAAGUAAGCCGUAAUCACAUACGCUGCCCAGUCGAGCCACGCGCCAGCGAAGCCUUCUCGACCUGAGAGGCAUCAUCCGGCGCCGCUUGGUCUCGGCGGCCGCAGUGACGCCGAGCUCGAGUCCCAAGCGGCAGGAGUGACGCAACGCUUGGGAUCCAGGACGUGCGCGGCGGCCAGGCGGAGGAGGGCUGCCGCCGAGGCCCGGUGUCGCGACUCGCCGCGACGUCCGGUGCCGCAGGACUGGUGCGGCCCGCGGCCGCUGCCCCGUCGGGCGUUGCCGAAGACGUCAUUGCUGCCCGAGACGAGCGAGGCGGAGGGAUUUUUUUAACAAUAAAGGACCACGGUGUGGAGCGAGUUCCAACUAG